CAGUCGAGGGGCAGCACAGAUUGCUUGCAAUCAGGUGGCGACCGGCGCACGGGUGCGUAACGCGUAUACAAUCUACCUUAUAGAGGGGGAUAGCCCAGAGAAAUUUGGAUUAAUACCCCAUAGUAUUAUUGAAUAGCAUUAUUUAAUAAUUAAACAUUUAUGGCUAUAAGAUGAGUAUGCGUUCUAUUAGCUAGUAGGUAAGGUAACGGCUUACCUAGGCUACGAUAGAUAGGGGUCCUGAGAGGGAGAUCCCCCACACUGGUACUGAGACACGGACCAGACUCCUACGGGAGGCAGCAGUGAGGAAUAUUGGACAAUGGGCGAGAGCCUGAUCCAGCCAUGCCGCGUGCAGGAAGACGGCCCUAUGGGUUGUAAACUGCUUUUAUAGAGGAAGAAACACUCCUACGUGUAGGAAUUUGACGGUACUCUACGAAUAAGGAUCGGCUAACUCCGUGCCAGCAGCCGCGGUAAUACGGAGGAUCCAAGCGUUAUCCGGAAUCAUUGGGUUUAAAGGGUCCGUAGGCGGGACAAUCAGUCAGCGGUGAAAGUCUGUGGCUCAACCAUAGAAUUGCCAUUGAUACUGUUGUUCUUGAAUACUUAUGAAGUGGUUGGAAUAUGUAGUGUAGCGGUGAAAUGCAUAGAUAUUACAUAGAACACCGAUUGCGAAGGCAGAUCACUAAUAAGUCAUUGACGCUGAUGGACGAAAGCGUAGGUAGCGAACAGGAUUAGAUACCC
This 735-nucleotide ribosomal RNA is filed under the name Gillisia sp. RNAcentral's name for it is "bacterial SSU rRNA". It matches the Rfam family "Bacterial small subunit ribosomal RNA", at positions 59 to 787 of the family's 1533-position model. The record is from RNAcentral. Lineage: Bacteria; Pseudomonadati; Bacteroidota; Flavobacteriia; Flavobacteriales; Flavobacteriaceae.